UGUAGGAAUGCAGAAAAAUGUUAUGAAAGUUUUUCAGUAAAUGAUUGGGUAAACAGACAGAGCCCAAGGUUAAACCAGGGUGCCUUUUGUUGGCUUGUAGCUUGGGCAGUAUUGUCCAGGCUAGUCCAAUGGCAAGAUCUAUAAAUCAACUCUACCCUGGUUGCUAUAUCCAGCCAGAGUGCUAAUGCUGGUGUUAUUAGAUAAUUUUGUAAAUUCAGGAUUAAAAAAUUGAUGUAACAUGAUAUUGUUAUGCAAGGAUAACUAGGCCCUCCAGAACAAUACUGAAUAGAAGUGAGAAUGGAUGUCCUUGAAUUGUUCCUGAUUUCAAAGGAAAAAUACUUUUUAACAUCUCAACAUUAAAUAUUUACUGUUA
Long non-coding RNA from Myotis davidii, 373 nucleotides. RefSeq lists it as uncharacterized. Lineage: Eukaryota; Metazoa; Chordata; Mammalia; Chiroptera; Vespertilionidae. The record is from RefSeq and is a predicted model, not a curated record. The transcript has 2 exons.